Molecule: small nuclear RNA, 144 nt
Filed under: Neotoma lepida (desert woodrat)
Lineage: Eukaryota; Metazoa; Chordata; Mammalia; Rodentia; Cricetidae
Description: U2 spliceosomal RNA
Rfam family: U2 spliceosomal RNA
About the family: U2 is a small nuclear RNA (snRNA) component of the spliceosome (involved in pre-mRNA splicing). Complementary binding between U2 snRNA (in an area lying towards the 5' end but 3' to hairpin I) and the branchpoint sequence (BPS) of the intron results the bulging out of an unpaired adenosine, on the BPS, which initiates a nucleophilic attack at the intronic 5' splice site, thus starting the first of two transesterification reactions that mediate splicing.
Source: Rfam by way of RNAcentral
AUCGCUUCUUGGCCUUUUGGCUAAGAUCAAGUGUAAUAUCAGUCUCACUAAAUAAUUCUUAUUAUUCAUAUAAUUUGAGGGGAAAAAAGACUUCAGUUUUUAUAUUAUCUAAUACUUACUGUAUUUGUGGGGUGGCUACCCACC